CAUAGCAUUGUUACUCGUAAAUUAAAAUCAACCUCAAGUACUGAUAAGAUACAGUCAAUUCCCGGCAACAAUCAAUUGCCGAUGGAGCUGAUUGCAUUGUCUGCUCCCGUUAUUAUUUAAGACAAUACCCACUUCCAUGAAGACUAAUGCCUGGACCUGUUCUUAGAGAACAAAAGCUGGAACGAGCGAGGGGUUAUCAUUAGAAACAAGAAGUACUAGAACUGUGGCAGAAACAAGUGUAUCGGUUAAAAUAAUUACAUAAAGUGAGUGGGAGUGGAAGCGGGAGCAGGAGCGGGAGCGGGAGCAGGAGCGGGAGCGGGAGCGGGAGUGGGAGUUGGAGUGCUGCCAAACAGAAAAAAAAUAUACGAAUAAUUAUAGUAGUAGUGCAAGAACAAGGAUAGGUGUGGGUAUAUACAAAUUAUUUAGUACUUUUCAGUGGGUUGGUUUUUUUAAGGCGGUUCCCUUUUUAAAAAAAAAUAUGAAAUUAAGUUAUUUUAGUUUUGCUUUUUUUUUUCAAUAUUUUAUUAUUUUUUAAUUUUAUUUUUUUGCAAUAUUUGAUCAGCACAAAAGGUGGUUUAAAUUUAGAUGCUUCUAAUUGGCCGCGAUACAGAAUAUGUGGAGUGCUCCUAUUGGUGCUUUUGAAAAAGCCUCCGAAUACUAGCCGAGCCCGACGGCUGCGUUUACCAGUAGCUACUGUAUUGGGAAUAUUUUUAUAUAAUAAUAAGUUGCAUUCGCAACAGUCUGCUCUUGUCUGUCUUGAAACCUUCGAAACACGACAACCUUCGGCCAUAAACUUACUUAGGACUAUAGAAACUUGACUCUAAAUAUCAAUAUUUGUAGAAGUAAUAUUUACACAUAGAUAUGACCACAUGAAAUUAGGUGUUCAUCAAUUUUGAC
This is a long non-coding RNA of Cydia pomonella (codling moth), 897 nucleotides long. RefSeq lists it as uncharacterized. The transcript is spliced from 2 exons. The record is from RefSeq and is a predicted model, not a curated record. Lineage: Eukaryota; Metazoa; Arthropoda; Insecta; Lepidoptera; Tortricidae.